GUCCACGCCGUAAACGAUGUCCGCUAGCUGUUUCGAGUAUCGACCCUCGGAGUGGCGCAGCUAACGCGUUAAGCGGACCGCCUGGGAAGUACGACCGCAAGGUUAAAACUCAAAGGAAUAGACGGGGGCUCACACAAGCGGAGGAACAUGAGGUUUAAUUCGACUCUACGCGAGGAACCUUACCUGGGCUUGACACCUAGACGAACGUUCCCAGAAACGGGAAUUUCUAAUUUAUUUUGGCGG
RNAcentral lists this ribosomal RNA (243 nucleotides) under uncultured bacterium. Its description in RNAcentral is "partial 16S ribosomal RNA". It matches the Rfam family "Bacterial small subunit ribosomal RNA", at positions 793 to 1033 of the family's 1533-position model. The record is from RNAcentral.